GUACACUCACUUUGCAUGCCAGAGCUUUCAAGUCCAGUGACUCUGAGUCGCGGAAAAAUUUUCCUUCCAAGUCAUGUCCAUUGAGGUAUGGCUCUGCCAAGGUCAAAGAAGAUGCCCUGAACCUAUUUCAAGUGGGGUUACGUGAAUACCUUGGCUCACACAGAAUCAA
Camellia sinensis is the source of this 169-nucleotide non-coding RNA. The record is from RefSeq and is a predicted model, not a curated record. Lineage: Eukaryota; Viridiplantae; Streptophyta; Magnoliopsida; Ericales; Theaceae.